RNAcentral lists this unclassified non-coding RNA (224 nucleotides) under plant metagenome. RNAcentral's name for it is "partial contains small subunit ribosomal RNA, internal transcribed spacer 1, and 5.8S ribosomal RNA". The record is from RNAcentral.
UCUCCGUUGGUGAACCAGCGGAGGGAUCAUUACAGGACUCGCAAGACCACUUCUCCCUGUGAACCUCACUACAAGCACGUUGCUUCGGCGGGUGUCCCGGCGGGGGAUUUCCCUGGCCGGGGCGCACAGCCCGCCGGGCGCCUACUAUACUCUGUCUCUAUGCGUUGGCAUCGCGAGAAUAAACAAACAAGUUAAAACUUUCAACAACGGAUCUCUUGGUUCUG